This 543-nucleotide small RNA is filed under the name Pan troglodytes (chimpanzee). RNAcentral's name for it is "processed transcript". Lineage: Eukaryota; Metazoa; Chordata; Mammalia; Primates; Hominidae. The record is from RNAcentral.
CAUUCUUGGUGAGGAAUCCCCAGGUGAAUCUGCCACGGAGUGAAGCAGCCCACUUGAGCUGUUGGCUACCCCCGGCCCCCCCAACGCCCGUUGGCUUUUGUGACACGUUACACGUUAGUGUUGGUAGAGCCUAGCCGUCAGAGGUACCUGUACCAUAAGCAUCUCUAUGAAAGGUAUUAAUCUCUGGAGAAGACACAUCCACAGUUAGCACUUUCUUCAGAUGCUGACGCUCAGUGAACAGUUGCCUUUGGUCACAAGAUUUAGAAGACACAGUGUCCAUCCUCCCAGAUUGGAUCUCUUUUUCAUAUGGAUCUUCUGUUUCUAUGUCUUUUUAAAAAAUAACUUUUUGGGAAACCUUUUGGAUUACAACUGUUCAUCCUCACCUAUGCAAAGAAAGGGAAGCUAUUGCUGGGAUUUUGAGGAGUUACUUCAUGUGAAAACAAAGAUGGUUGGAAGAGCAUGCUUGUUCAAAUCCUGAAUAGUCCACACAUUCCUAGGCAGUCCGUUGCCACUGGGCAGUAUAGAUAUGUUGUCCAGCCUGCC